This 687-nucleotide ribosomal RNA is filed under the name Escherichia coli. RNAcentral describes it as "partial 23S ribosomal RNA". It matches the Rfam family "Bacterial large subunit ribosomal RNA", at positions 418 to 1106 of the family's 2925-position model. Lineage: Bacteria; Pseudomonadati; Pseudomonadota; Gammaproteobacteria; Enterobacterales; Enterobacteriaceae. The record is from RNAcentral.
CGGGACACGUGGUAUCCUGUCUGAAUAUGGGGGGACCAUCCUCCAAGGCUAAAUACUCCUGACUGACCGAUAGUGAACCAGUACCGUGAGGGAAAGGCGAAAAGAACCCCGGCGAGGGGAGUGAAAAAGAACCUGAAACCGUGUACGUACAAGCAGUGGGAGCCUCUUUAUGGGGUGACUGCGUACCUUUUGUAUAAUGGGUCAGCGACUUAUAUUCUGUAGCAAGGUUAACCGAAUAGGGGAGCCGAAGGGAAACCGAGUCUUAACUGGGCGUUAAGUUGCAGGGUAUAGACCCGAAACCCGGUGAUCUAGCCAUGGGCAGGUUGAAGGUUGGGUAACACUAACUGGAGGACCGAACCGACUAAUGUUGAAAAAUUAGCGGAUGACUUGUGGCUGGGGGUGAAAGGCCAAUCAAACCGGGAGAUAGCUGGUUCUCCCCGAAAGCUAUUUAGGUAGCGCCUCGUGAAUUCAUCUCCGGGGGUAGAGCACUGUUUCGGCAAGGGGGUCAUCCCGACUUACCAACCCGAUGCAAACUGCGAAUACCGGAGAAUGUUAUCACGGGAGACACACGGCGGGUGCUAACGUCCGUCGUGAAGAGGGAAACAACCCAGACCGCCAGCUAAGGUCCCAAAGUCAUGGUUAAGUGGGAAACGAUGUGGGAAGGCCCAGACAGCCAGGAUGUUGGCU